GGAGCGUCGUCCAAGCCUGCGAAGGUGAACCGCGAGGUUCGCUGGAGGUACGACGAGUGAGAAUGCUGACAUGAGUAGCGAUAAAGAGUGUGAGAAACACUCUCGCCGAAAGUCCAAGGGUUCCUGCGCAAGGCUAAUCCGCGCAGGGUGAGCCGGCCCCUAAGGCGAGGCCGAAAGGCGUAGUCGAUGGGAACUAGGUUAAUAUUCCUAGGCCUGGUGGAUGUGACGAAUGGUGGCAGCAGUGUGGGCUUAACGGAUUGUCCAUGCUGUGAAACUGUUCCAGGAAAUAACACCACCGUAUAGACCGUACCCCAAACCGACACAGGUGGACAGGUAGAGCAUACCAAGGCGCUUGAGAGAACUCUGUUGAAGGAACUCGGCAAAUUACUCCCGUAAGUUCGCGAGAAGGGAGCCUGGCAUUAGGCAACUGGUGUCCAGGGGCACAGACCAGGGGGUGGCGACUGUUUAUUAAAAACACAGGGCUCUGCGAAGUCG
This 495-nucleotide ribosomal RNA is filed under the name Alexandrium margalefii. RNAcentral's name for it is "partial Bacterial large subunit ribosomal RNA". It matches the Rfam family "Bacterial large subunit ribosomal RNA", at positions 1233 to 1833 of the family's 2925-position model. Lineage: Eukaryota; Dinophyceae; Gonyaulacales; Pyrocystaceae. The record is from RNAcentral.